Molecule: microRNA precursor, 97 nt
Filed under: Equus caballus (horse)
Lineage: Eukaryota; Metazoa; Chordata; Mammalia; Perissodactyla; Equidae
Description: mir-544 microRNA precursor family
Rfam family: mir-544 microRNA precursor family
Source: Rfam by way of RNAcentral
AUCACCUGGGCAUCUAGUUAAAAUGCAGAUUCUGUUUCAGUAGUUCAGGGAUGGAGCUGAAAAUCUGCAUUUCUAACCAGCUCCCAGGAGAUGCUUA